RNAcentral lists this ribosomal RNA (723 nucleotides) under uncultured Bacilli bacterium. RNAcentral describes it as "bacterial SSU rRNA". It matches the Rfam family "Bacterial small subunit ribosomal RNA", at positions 47 to 751 of the family's 1533-position model. Lineage: Bacteria; Bacillati; Bacillota; Bacilli. The record is from RNAcentral.
CCUAAUACAUGCAAGUCGAGCGGACCGACGGGAGCUUGCUCCCUUAGUUCAGCGGCGGACGGGUGAGUAACACGUGGGUAACCUGCCUGUAAGACUGGGAUAACUCCGGGAAACCGGGGCUAAUACCGGAUGCUUGAUUGAACCGCAUGGUUCAAUCAUAAAAGGUGGCUUUUAGCUACCACUUACAGAUGGACCCGCGGCGCAUUAGCUAGUUGGUGAGGUAACGGCUCACCAAGGCGACGAUGCGUAGCCGACCUGAGAGGGUGAUCGGCCACACUGGGACUGAGACACGGCCCAGACUCCUACGGGAGGCAGCAGUAGGGAAUCUUCCGCAAUGGACGAAAGUCUGACGGAGCAACGCCGCGUGAGUGAUGAAGGUUUUCGGAUCGUAAAACUCUGUUGUUAGGGAAGAACAAGUACCGUUCGAAUAGGGCGGCACCUUGACGGUACCUAACCAGAAAGCCACGGCUAACUACGUGCCAGCAGCCGCGGUAAUACGUAGGUGGCAAGCGUUGUCCGGAAUUAUUGGGCGUAAAGCGCGCGCAGGCGGUUUCUUAAGUCUGAUGUGAAAGCCCCCGGCUCAACCGGGGAGGGUCAUUGGAAACUGGGGAACUUGAGUGCAGAAGAGGAGAGUGGAAUUCCACGUGUAGCGGUGAAAUCCGUAGAGAUGUGGAGGAACACCAGUGGCGAAGGCGACUCUCUGGUCUGUAACUGACGCUGAGG